GACGAACGCUGGCGGCGUGCUUAACACAUGCAAGUCGUACGGUAAGGCCCUUUCGGGGGUACACGAGUGGCGCACGGGUGAGUAACACGUGAGUAACCUGCCCACAACUUUGGGAUAACGCUAGGAAACUGGUGCUAAUACUGGAUAUGUUCUCCUGCUGCAUGGUGGGGGUUGGAAAGCUCCGGCGGUUGUGGAUGGACUCGCGGCCUAUCAGCUUGUUGGUGGGGUAGUGGCCUACCAAGGCGGCGACGGGUAGCCGGCCUGAGAGGGUGACCGGCCACAUUGGGACUGAGAUACGGCCCAGACUCCUACGGGAGGCAGCAGUGGGGAAUAUUGCACAAUGGGCGCAAGCCUGAUGCAGCAACGCCGCGUGCGGGAUGACGGACUUCGGGUUGUAAACCGCUUUCAGCAGGGACGAAGCUUUUUGUGACGGUACCUGCAGAAGAAGCACCGGCUAACUACGUG
RNAcentral lists this ribosomal RNA (465 nucleotides) under uncultured bacterium. RNAcentral's name for it is "partial 16S ribosomal RNA". It matches the Rfam family "Bacterial small subunit ribosomal RNA", at positions 28 to 507 of the family's 1533-position model. The record is from RNAcentral.